CAAUGAGAGCGCAGAAUGUGGCGCAGCGGAAAAAUUGAUUUCCGGGUUUUGCACGAGGUUUGCUCGUGGAAUCAGAGGCAGCUCUCUCUAUCGUGCACGGAUGCCUGAGGAGCGCGGGGUUCGCUGACGCUCCGGGGAACAGAAACAAAGAAAAUAAUCUUCUAGAUGAGUUUUAUCGAUGGAUUGAUGGUAAAGAAAAGGAUUUAAAGGGGACGUGCUGUACCUGCACCAUUCUGGAAUUUUCUGAGUUUAACGAUCUCCUUGGUCAGGUUUUUUUUUCCUUGUUGUUCUGUCCUUUUCCAAAUUCGAUUGCUGUCUGUCUGAUGUGACGAGAUGUUCCGGUACCUGCAUUCUGGAUUUGUCCCGGCCUUCCGGUGGUUCUGAGGAGGGUUUGGACUGGCGAGCCUCCCUUGAGUCUGUUCUUGGAUUUUCUGUGGAAACAAAAGACAAGUUUUUCUGACCCUGUGAAUGGUAGGAAAUCGAAUAACUUUUCUUUCUUUUUUUUCCCUCUUUCGGAUGGAGACGUUUUUUCCUCAUUGACAGAGAAAAGACAUUUAUAUCUCUCUACGGACUAUUUGAAGAACUGUUUUUCUUGAAAGACUGAGCAAUUGAGGGUUUUGAAAUCGAAGGACAUUAUUUUAUUUCAUUGAGAAGUGUUAAUUUUCUGUUGUGGUGACAGCUGUGAUACAUACAUUGGGUUUUUGAUAUUUGAAUACUGAUUGAUCUAAAAAGAAAAAAAUUGACAAAGGUAACAUAAGUGUUCAUAUUCAACCUUUAUUUGGGUGAAUCAACUACUGAGUUAAAGUGAACGAACAAAGAACUUACCUUGUUGAAAAUUGAGGGAAAAGGUUCAUGAAACCUGCUAAAACAAAAGAGUGACAAAAUUUAGAAACAAGAAUUUAAUUUGUGAAAAUAUAUAUAUUUUUUCCUUUCUGUUUUCAUUGAUUCACAUUGAUUCAACUUACCCGUUGAGUGCUGUUAAACCACAAAUACACGUUGUGUGUUCGACCAAACCAUUCGUUGAGUGUUCAGUGUUGUUGUUGCAUCUUUC
Molecule: long non-coding RNA, 1051 nt
Organism: Sinocyclocheilus anshuiensis
Lineage: Eukaryota; Metazoa; Chordata; Actinopteri; Cypriniformes; Cyprinidae
Exons: 4
Source: RefSeq, a predicted model, not a curated record